This 329-nucleotide ribosomal RNA is filed under the name uncultured eukaryote. Its description in RNAcentral is "partial 18S ribosomal RNA". It matches the Rfam family "Eukaryotic small subunit ribosomal RNA", at positions 1470 to 1796 of the family's 1831-position model. The record is from RNAcentral.
CCCUUAGAUGUUCUGGGCCGCACGCGCGCUACACUGAUGCAUUCAACGAGUCUAAAACCUGCUCUGAUAGGGGUGGGUAAUCUUUUGAAUGUGCAUCGUGAUUGGGAUAGAUGAUUGCAAUUUUUCAUCUUCAACGAGGAAUGCCUAGUAAACGCAAGUCAUCAGCUUGCAUUGAUUACGUCCCUGCCUUUUGUACACACCGCCCGUCGCUCCUACCGAUUGAAUGAUCCGAUGAAUAUCAUGGAUUGAGGAUUAUAGCAGGUUCGCCUGUCUUGAUCUUCGAGAAGUGAAGUAAAUCUUAUCAUUUAGAGGAAGGAGAAGUCGUAACA